CUGGGAAAAUGGAACCAAUAUGAUUGGGACUUGGUCUGUGGAGGAGAGCUGGUGGGAGCACCACCUUGUGGCAGUCCAAUAAGAGAGCCUGGGGUUCAGGUUUGGAACUAGCGGGCUUGAAGUAGCUCUCCAGGGGCCUCAGGUCUUAGCUCCAGCCACAAUCCCAGUUUUCUGCUGUUGGUAAGAGCAGCCCUACAAGUGGUCUGAGAGCUUGUGUGCUUUGCAUGUCACUGACUGGAGGGUGGACCAGGUGUUCUCUCUUGGCAGGGGCCAAGAGGAGACUGAUGGCAGUUACCGGAUGACUUCAUGUAUCCCGAGAGGCAGUUGCAAGGACAGUCAAGUCCCCCAGGUGGGUCCCAGGAUCUAGAAUCACAUAGAAUACAAGGAUCUGGGCACAUCUAUGAAGACAUUUUUGGAUUGGGCUAAGAUAGGAACUCAUCCUGAAUGUGGUGGCACCAUUCCCUAGGCUGGAGUGUUGGACCGAAUCAAAAGGGGAAAGUAAGCUGUGUCCAGCAUUCAUCUUUACUAUUUCCUAACUGCAGGUGCAGAGCUCCUUCCAGCUCCUGUUACCAAGCCUUAUCUACAGUGGUGGAUGGACUCAAGUUAUGAACUCAAAUAAUCCCUUCCUUCUGUGAGUUGCUUUUGUUGGGUAUUACAGCAAUAAGAGAAGUAAUUUGUAUGAAAACUAGUUCACUUUUCUCGAUAAAAGAAAUUCCCAAAC
RNAcentral lists this long non-coding RNA (721 nucleotides) under Mus caroli (Ryukyu mouse). Its description in RNAcentral is "lncRNA (MGP_CAROLIEiJ_G0006310.1)". Lineage: Eukaryota; Metazoa; Chordata; Mammalia; Rodentia; Muridae. The record is from RNAcentral.